Molecule: ribosomal RNA, 782 nt
Filed under: Plesionika hsuehyui
Lineage: Eukaryota; Metazoa; Arthropoda; Malacostraca; Decapoda; Pandalidae
Description: eukaryotic LSU rRNA
Rfam family: Eukaryotic large subunit ribosomal RNA
Source: RNAcentral
AUUAAUAAGCGGAGGAAAAGAAACCAACCGGGAUUCCCUUAGUAAGGGCGACUGAAACGGGAUCAGCCCAGCGCAUAACCUCGCGGUCCAUGGUUUGGCCGUCGAGGGGUGUUGCGUUUCGGUGGAUCCGUCCCGCCCGAGCCGCUUACCGCCUAAGUCAUUGCUUGAAAGCAGCCCCGUGGAGGGUGAUAGGCCCGUGUGGCGGCGCCUGUAAAAAGGGUGAAGGCGGUCCGGGCGGAGGGAUCUUCACUGUAGAGUCGGGUUGCUUAAUACUGCAGCCCUAAGCAGGUGGUAAACUCCAUCUAAGGCUAAAUACAAUCACGAGACCGAUAGAGCACAAGUACCGUGAGGGAAAGCUGAAAAGGACUUUGAAGAGAGAGUUCAAAAGGACGUGAAACCGUUAGAAGCUUAAACGGGUGGAACCGCGAAGGUCGAACGAGGGGAUUCAGCUCGUCGGGCCUCCGGCGUGCAGGUGGCGGCACAUUGCAGUUCACAUGAGAGGACCCGGCGCAAAAGGUGCAAAGCCGUGGCCCCGCGCCUGCCUCCGGAGUGCUUGGCGGGCUUACUUCUCCCUCUAGUAGGGUCGCCGCGACCCGUUGCUCAGACCCCCAGGGCCGUGCCGGAUUGGUAGCCUGGACCUCACGGUUCAGGUGACGACUGGCUGCGGUUCCGACGGGCCUGUGGCGACGGUCACUGCAAGGAGGCCGCUGGGAUCUGGCGUUCGCGCCGGAGACUGGCGCCGCCUCUCGCGGCGUGCAAUGGAUCGGUAAUCCACCCGACCC